Molecule: long non-coding RNA, 4268 nt
Filed under: Marmota monax (woodchuck)
Lineage: Eukaryota; Metazoa; Chordata; Mammalia; Rodentia; Sciuridae
Source: RNAcentral
CUUGAUUUAACUGGAAUUUUGUAACCUGAAGCUUAUUGUCAUCAAAUUUUUUCUAAAUGUUAUUUAUUUUUUAGAGGAUGAUUUGUGCUAACUUGGGAUAAUAGUAUGUAAUAGGGAAUAAACUGGUUUUAAAUACCUGUCAGUAGCUGAAUGAAAAAAAAAGUAUGGGGUCAACUGUACCCUAAGUGCUUCAAAGCACAAAUAAGACAUUUUGGGUUGUACCUGGGCCCUUGAACUCCUUUCUUGGACCAACAGGAAACAAUUAUUUUCACCCACAAAGGAUACAGACCUGUAAACCCAAUAAAGUUUUCUCUAUACUAACGUUGAGAGGGGUAAAUAUUAAAUAAAUCUUUUUCAACACUUAAAGGGACUGGUAAAGAUUCUUCUCCAGCUGGAAGAAUCUUUUGCAGGGCCUUUCCCCCAGAAUCCGAGUUUCCCUGUAAUCUCUGUGUUAUAAUUUUCUGCCUUGAUCCAGCUUCACAUUUCAAAUUCUUGAUAAUGUAAAUAACCAAAGGACAGGAAAAUAGAACAGUGACUGAAAAUAAGUUAAAACGUGCUGGAAUACUUUGUGAUUAAAAUACAAUAAAGUUUAAUAAUGAUGUUGAAAGAGGCCUGAGUAUGGCAAGUGAGUAAUGGGAAACCUGACAGUUCUUUCCUCUGAUUUAGAGCAUCUGCAGUGAUCUGUGGCAGCAUUUCUGUAAAUACCUUACUAAUGAUGAUUACUGUGCUGGUUACAGUGAGGUUAAUGUUUCUAUGAAGACAUACACAAGGUCAAAUUAAAUAAAGGUGGUCCAUAAUUGGAUAUCAUAACACCUGUAUUUAUUGCCAAUAACUUUAUUAAUAUUCCCUGAUUUGAUAAAGACAGGGAAGUAAAAAUAGGACAAUUAUAACCUUCUAGGACAAUUGCUUCAUUUUUUUUUCCUUCAUUUUACUUAUCAUCUAGGGGCUAGUGGUACCUUUUUAAAAGCUUAUGAGAUGCUUGAUCCCCUCCAAAUCUUGUAUUUAUAGUCACUUUCACAUUCUACACUGUACAGUUAAUGAUGCAAUUAGAUCAGAGUCAGAGACUGAGUCCCAUUGACGUUUUAAGGUAAGAUCUUCCAGUGUGUGGCAUGCCAUUAUCUAAUACACCCUUCCACAACAGCUGGCUCAGGCUUAGCAUUUUCCAAACACAAAGACAAACACAAAACUAUAAAACUCUGCAAAAAUCUCCACUAUUUUAUAUGGAGUGACAAAGCUUAGAAGAGAUAUGAAGAAGCACAUAGAAGCUUGUAAAUGUCACACACUGAAAAUCCAAGGGUGUUGAGUUAGUUGCUGGUGUUCCUCUUUCUGUAACAGUAUUAAACACUUGCCAAUCUACACACAGUUCUGUGACAUAGACACCAUUUUUCUUCAAUAGCAGUUGUUAAAUCACUAUCAUCUGCCACUUAUGCCAAAUAUAACAUAGUUAUGGCUAAAACAAAAAGUGAAUUAGAUCCUUACACUCGACUAGCAAUUACAAUGAUAAAAAAAAAUUAUUACUAAAUUCCAAUUCCAGGUUACUAAGACUCAUGUCAGUCUCUCUACAUAGCAUGAUUGAUAACUCUAUUGCUCAAGUCAGAAGUAGGAAUUCAUUUUUAUAAAGCCCCUACUUCCUUCUCCACUCCCACUACAUGACAUCCAUCAUUAAGAAGAGUAUUCUCAAUCAUAGCUCUUUAAUAUUCAUUAGUUUACUCCUCUCCAUCACGAACAGCAGUAAUUUAUUGGAGCCUUCAAUUUUCUCCCUUGAAUUACACAGUCAUUCCAUGGUAUUCUACCUGCCUAGAAUAUUGAUCCAUCUCCCAGGGGCAGAAUGGAGAGUUGGUUUGAAUCUCAGCUCUAUCACUUUCUAAUUCUGUGAGCGUAUUCAUUUGUUAACUCAAAAGAUAUUAAAAUACAGCUAGGAUGUAGAAUGCAUGAGGCCUGGGAUUCAAUUAUCAGUACUGCAAAAAUAUACAUAUGUGUACAUUAACCAACAGAAUAUAUCAGUAUUAUUAAUGUAUAUAUUAAUAACAUAAUGAAAAAAUUAGAUAGUGUUAUGUGCACGCCUAUCAUGAUAUCUAAUAUAAUCUCAAAUGUUGAAUAAAUUAGGUUACAUUUUAAGCCAUGCUGCCCUUAUGUGGUAUUUAAGUACUUGAAUAUUGACUAUUCCAAAUUAAGAUUCACCUAAAGAUUAAAGUGCAUACCAGAUUUCAAAAAGGUGUUGUGAAAUUAAUGAAGUUUUACAUCAAUUACAUGUUAGAAUUAUCAUUGGAUACAUAGAGCUAAGUAAAGUAUUAUCUAAAUUAAUUUUUUUCUUUUUUAUAUUUUUGGUAUAACCACUAGAACAUUUAAGAUGACAUGUGUAGCUGACAUUAUACUUCUCUUGGACAGUGCUAAGUUAGAGGAUGUCAUUUAACUUUUUUUACUCGUUUAUUCCCUCCCUUGCAAAUAGGUACCAAAUUACAUAUAGGUCUGUCAAAAUGAUGUAGGACCUGAAAUCUUUCUGUAAGUUGAUCCUCUUGACCCCAUGAUUAGAAGCUUCACAAUGUGGUACCACACCUGGAAACCUCCAGAGCAAGAUCUCAAGGAAACACAGGAAAUUCCUGGGAACAGCAAAACAUCCUACUUGAAGACAUUGAGUUAUUCCUCUGUGUAUCAGGAGCAUCAUUGUUAAUUAACUGUUCAUGUGCUUGAAAGAGUUUGCUUGGCAAUGGCCUUUGUGAAGAAAGAACAGUGAGGUGUAUUAUUCAGGAUGCACUGGAUAAUGCUGUCACAAUGUGUUAAGCUAGACCUCUUAUUGCCUUAGCAAAUGUUUAGUUCUUAUUCCUGCAAAUGCUGGUGCAAGAUGGUUGGCUCUCCAGACAGCAGUUGAUCUUGUGAAUUAGUCAUCUCAGCAUGUUUCUCCAAGAGACCACAGCAGGGGAAUCGAGAAGGGGAGGGUCACAUACUUGAUCUUAUAUAUUCUGAUGCAGAAGUGAUAGGUGUUAUUUCUGCUCACAGCUCCUGGGCCUGAACAGUCAUGUAUAAUUUCAAAAGGACUAGAAAAUACUCUGGAGCAUAUGCUACUUGGUGAGUUGCAAAUGUCUCUAUUAUAUCAAGCUAUGAUAAACUUUGAAUUUGCUUCUAACAGAUAUAGUUCACACCACUAAAUUACAUAUCUUGAAUCUUCUUUGAAUCCUAUGUUGGUAUUUUCUAGAAUAGUAUCUAACAUAGAGUAAGCAUUCAAUAAAUAUGCUCAAAAGACCAUUUAGAUCUUCAAUUUUCACUUUAUCAUGAAAUUUUUGUUACCAUGCAUCCACUGUUACCACAUCAGGAAUGUGUAACUGCAAAUACAACUGCAAAGAAAUUUUACCUGAUAAGAUACUCAUUCUGCCUUCAAUAUUUUUAGUUUUAUUUGGAUGAGGGUUUUUUGGUUUUGGUUUUGAUUGCGGGGGGUAGGGGGUGGUGGUGGUGUGCAUGUGUGUGUAGAAAUUUUGGCUUUGUUUUCUUCUCUAGAGAAGGGUUUCAUUCUCAAUCCUCAUUGGCAUUAGAACAACAGUUGUGUACAUAUGCAGUGACAAUGGUUCAAAUUCUUUGGGGAAUCUGCCAGGAAGUGUCUGACAUCAAGUUAUACCACCAAUGUCUAUUUGUGUAAAUCAUAUUUAUAACUUUCAAGUAUGAUAUUUUAUUUUUGAUGAAUUCUGUAGGUUCUGUAAGAGUUCCUUGCAUGAACUGUGAAGAGGAGACCUUGAAUUGUGUCUCGUCACUAUCACUUUGAUUGUGACCAAGUUAAUUAAUAUUUUUGUGUUUAGGUUUCCUCAUCUUUCAAAUAAAGAUGUCUAUUUAUAUUGCUUCAUAUUGCUAAUUAUAUUAUAUAUAAUUCAAAUGAUGUAUUUCAUAUGUGUGUCUAUAGUAUUCUUAAUAUGGUCAUUUUUAUGAACAUUAUCAUUAUCCAUCCUCUGGCCCACAUUCUGUCUAAAAUGAAGUCACCUUCUGUAUAAAACAAGCUGGUAAGAAAAUUUUGGAAUAUUUAUUUGUAUCUAUUCAUUCCCCAUUUUCCCCAAUAAACACUAAUAUCUUGAGAAUUCCUGUCUAAGAUAUAGAUACAACAUAAAUAUAUAUUGAAUGAGUAAAUAAUGUUCUAAUGACAAAUGUAACUUUAGUAUCUCAACAUUUUAAUAUAAAUCAGAUGUUUAGAUUGCACAUAUUUCAGUUGACUUUUCUACUUGUUUCAAAUUAAGAUCAAAAAAAUUGUCAGCAUGUAAAAUCUUGAAUGUGGAAUGAAUAAUAAA